RNAcentral lists this microRNA precursor (62 nucleotides) under Euprymna scolopes. RNAcentral's name for it is "Esc-Mir-12525_pre stem-loop". The record is from RNAcentral. Lineage: Eukaryota; Metazoa; Mollusca; Cephalopoda; Sepiida; Sepiolidae.
UGACAUAACUUGGAACUCUAAAGUUGUUUUUGUUAGAACUUAGAAUUCCAGGUUACGCCAGC